AUUGAACGCUGGCGGCAGGCCUAACACAUGCAAGUCGAGCGGAUGAAGGGAGCUUGCUCCUGGAUUCAGCGUCGGACGGGUGAGUAAUGCCUAGGAAUCUGCCUGGUAGUGGGGGAUAACGUCCGGAAACGGGCGCUAAUACCGCAUACGUCCUGAGGGAGAAAGUGGGGGAUCUUCGGACCUCACGCUAUCAGAUGAGCCUAGGUCGGAUUAGCUAGUUGGUGGGGUAAAGGCCUACCAAGGCGACGAUCCGUAACUGGUCUGAGAGGAUGAUCAGUCACACUGGAACUGAGAAACGGUCCAGACUCCUACGGGAGGCAGCAGUGGGGAAUAUUGGCCAAUGGGCGAAAGCCUGAUCCAGCCAUGCCGCGGGUGUGAAGAAGGUCUUCGGAUUGUAAAGCACGUUAAGUUGGGAGGAAGGGCAGUAAGUUAAUACCUUGCUGUUUUGACGUUACCAAAAGAAUAAGCACCGGCUAACUUCGUG
This 484-nucleotide ribosomal RNA is filed under the name uncultured bacterium. RNAcentral describes it as "partial 16S ribosomal RNA". It matches the Rfam family "Bacterial small subunit ribosomal RNA", at positions 30 to 507 of the family's 1533-position model. The record is from RNAcentral.